This 200-nucleotide unclassified non-coding RNA is filed under the name soil metagenome. RNAcentral describes it as "partial contains internal transcribed spacer 2 and large subunit ribosomal RNA". The record is from RNAcentral.
CGUCAUUAUCAACCAUCAAGCACCGCUUGGCAUUGAUUGUCACCCCCCGCGAGGAGGGAGCGAUCUAAAAGAGUCGGCUUUGGAUUUACACCAGAUAGCGUUAGUAAUACUUCCCGUUAAACUGGUUACUUCCGGAGGCCUCUAAAACCCAACACCUUAAGGUUGACCUCGGAUCAGGUAGGGAUACCCGCUGAACUUAA